UCAGAGGUCGCGUUCCAAACUGGUAGCUCAGCUUCAGGUUGCUCUGGCAGAUUUUGUCAAUGCCGCAUCCUUCUCGCAGGAAGUUCACCUAAAGAGGAUGAAUCAGAGACAGACUGUUUGGUCUGACGAAACAAGAUACUUGAAGGUGUCAUCAUGGAUUCUGGGAAAGUACUGUAUUUCACUGAGGAGCAUGCAAGACCUCAGAGUGCAGUGUGUUGGAGGGGGAAACAUUCAGGACAGGCGCCAGCUUCUCCAGCCUCUUGGCACCUGAGUGUCUGCGUGGUGGCACAGGCUUGAUAGUGUGGGUUAUUGCCAACGUAAUGGGACGCAGUUUGUCA
Molecule: long non-coding RNA, 338 nt
Organism: Scatophagus argus
Lineage: Eukaryota; Metazoa; Chordata; Actinopteri; Scatophagidae
Exons: 3
Source: RefSeq, a predicted model, not a curated record